RNAcentral lists this ribosomal RNA (19 nucleotides) under Priapella intermedia (Isthmian priapella). RNAcentral describes it as "partial 16S ribosomal RNA". Lineage: Eukaryota; Metazoa; Chordata; Actinopteri; Cyprinodontiformes; Poeciliidae. The record is from RNAcentral.
AGCCUAACAGCUAGCCUCC